GGUCUGAGGCAGGAGCUGCUGUGUGAGGUCGCAGGACGAUGGGGAAGGCAGAGGGGCCUGUGGGAGAGAAAGGGGCUUUGUUACCACUGCUUCUGCCAUUCCAGGGGACAGGGAUGUGGUCUCUUGGUCCGGUGGGUUCUCUGCGUUCCGCACUGGGGUGAACAGCUCCAAGUCAAGAGUUCUAGAAAGUAUAGGUGUCUGUUCCCUGGCUGCACUGCUUCCUACGCAGGGCACAAGGGCAGAGCCCCUGCACAACUGGUGCAGGCUUCCACCCCACCACAGUGUGCUCUGCCAGGCUGCUGCUACCUGCCCAAGCCUGGUAGCUCAGCUCUACUUCCCUUCCCUUGCCUGCUGUCCUGGACUCCGCCCUGGGUGGAUUUGGUUGCUCUCCUCCCAAAUGGAUUAAUUCUUAGCGGUGUCAUCAAGCAGGACGACGUGCGUGGACUGCUACCAUGAGCUGCUGUGCGUCCGUAUCUUUUCUGCUCAGCGCUAAUGCAGAUGGACAGACACGCCAUGCAUGUUUGUCCAUGAACUCAUCCAGGCAGUGAGGACUGGGGCAGUUUCACCAGCCUCUGCCCAGAACCUUUUAAGAGACUCCUGGGAAGUGAGCUGAGUCACAUCUGCGCUCCCUGAUCACUCGGGUGGGUGGGGGAGACAAUGUAUAGUAACAAGAAAUGAAACACUCUGCUUCACGGGCUAGUGGUUUUCUAGUGGUUUUUUUUUUUUUUAAAGAACAGUGAAAGGACUCGUCUGAAGUUAUUCCGACACGGCCCCUAGUUGCUAGGGCCUAUAUAAAAAAGCAGCUCAAAUGGAAAGUGUCACCCAGGACAGCAUUGGGAGGAAAUGACACCAGGAGACCUUGUUUCAGUGAGAAAUCCCAGGCACAGGGCUGAUCCAGAAGCUGGUCUGGGUUCUGUUUCCCUGCGCAGCUGGGAGGAGACAGAAGCACUCUGGGCCUCCGUUGUUGGCAAAGUGAGUCACACUGGACAGGAGAGUCUGGAAGAAUGGCAGGCACAGCUUGCAAGCGCAUCUGGAGGUGGCUGGAGAGAAAUAAAACGGAUUCUCUGGGGAGACGCAGCACAUCGCCUGGCUCUGCAGCCCCCACCACAUUGUAGCGUACACCCGUGGAGGAGUUUGGGGUCACACACUUACCGGCAUGGUGGCUGCCUGGCUGAGCCCGGGGACAGCAUGUACUCAUCCGAAGAGGGGACCCAUGACCGUGGUGUGCACAGUACAAGAGCUCGCUUGGGAUCUCUGAUAAAGGAAGUCCACCAUGCAGGGUUGAGCUGAACCACAGAAGCCCAGCCUGGGAGCAGGGCUCCAGGACUCCCCAAGGAUCAGAAACCUCAAUGAUAAAUUUCCGACUGGAUGAUACACACUACACCUGUUCUUCAGCGAUGAUGUAUGGUGUGUCUAACAUCUGCCUAUUAGCAGCUGAAUUCCCUUCUAUGACGUGAUACAUAAUGUAUGGUGUGACACAGCUGGGUAAUAAACAAUGUCAGCUGCGU
Molecule: long non-coding RNA, 1508 nt
Filed under: Homo sapiens (human)
Lineage: Eukaryota; Metazoa; Chordata; Mammalia; Primates; Hominidae
Description: NPAS2 antisense RNA 1
Source: RNAcentral